GACAGAGGUGCCAAGCGUUAGGCGGAAUCACUGGGCUUAAAGCGUGUGUAGGCGGACUUCUAAGUACCUUGUGAAAUCCCCCGGCUCAACCGGGGAACGGCUGGGUAUACUGGGAGUCUCGAGCCAGCUAGGGGUCGCCGGAACAAGUGGUGGAGCGGUGAAAUGCGUAGAUAUCACUUGGAACGCCAACGGUGAAAACAGGCGACUGGGGCUGUGCUGACGCUGAGACACGAAAGCCAGGGGAGCGAACGGG
RNAcentral lists this ribosomal RNA (253 nucleotides) under uncultured bacterium. RNAcentral describes it as "partial 16S ribosomal RNA". It matches the Rfam family "Bacterial small subunit ribosomal RNA", at positions 524 to 776 of the family's 1533-position model. The record is from RNAcentral.